UCGAGAGGCUUCGGCAAUGGGGGAAACCCUGACCGAGCGACGCCGCGUGGGUGAUGAAGAUUCUCGGAUCGUAAAACCCUGUCAGGUGGGAUGAAAAACCAUUCGGUUAAUACCCGAGUGGCUUGACAGUACCACCAGAGGAAGCUCCGGCCAACUCCGUGCCAGCAGCCGCGGUAACACGGGGGGAGCAAGCGUUGUUCGGAUUCAUUGGGCGUAAAGAGCUCGUAGGCCGCUCUGUAAGUCGGAAGUGAAAGACCACGGCUCAACCGUGGAAACGCUUUCGAAACUGUGGAGCUUGAGGCCGGGAGAGGAGAUCGGAAUUCCUGGUGUAGCGGUGAAAUGCGUAGAUAUCAAGAGGAACACCUGAGGUGAAGACGGGUUGCUGGGCUGACACUGACGCUGAGGCGCGAAAGCCAGGGGAGCAGACGGGAUUAGAUACCCGAGUAGUCCCUGAGCGGGCUGGCAAGGCGCAU
This 473-nucleotide ribosomal RNA is filed under the name uncultured bacterium. Its description in RNAcentral is "bacterial SSU rRNA". It matches the Rfam family "Bacterial small subunit ribosomal RNA", at positions 355 to 825 of the family's 1533-position model. The record is from RNAcentral.